Molecule: long non-coding RNA, 1081 nt
Organism: Papaver somniferum (opium poppy)
Lineage: Eukaryota; Viridiplantae; Streptophyta; Magnoliopsida; Ranunculales; Papaveraceae
Exons: 2
Source: RefSeq, a predicted model, not a curated record
AAACGAAGUUCGCAUGCGAAACAGAGCAACUGUUUAGUCGAAAGCCGGCGCGCGUCAACACCAGGAACUUUGUGACUGACAGUUAUCUAGGGAAGCGUGGAUAGGCUCAAAGCUUUUCUUGGAUUACUCUCCUAGUAAAGAACAGUGAUGAUAUGUAAACAAAGGGAUUUUCAAUCACUUGAAGAAGCAUGAAGGUAUAUCUAAACGUCGAUCAACGUAAUUAUUCUCAGUGUUCAACAUCAUCAUCAACAGAAGUAUCAACUCCUCUAAGUCCUACAACUCCUCUUUUAAGUCAUGCAACUCAUCUACACGAUCUUCUUAUUUCUUUCCUUGGUGAAAUUGUCAGUACAAUCUUCCUUAUAGUGUUUAUUGUCUUCGUAGCCAUCAUAAAAAUCGCAAUACAUAUUGUAGUAGCUUGUAGAAUAGUUUAUCGUGGACUGCAUCAUCGGGAAACAACCAGAACCUAUGCAACAAGCUUCAGCGGCUUGGAAGAACAAGAAGAAAGUGGUGGCAUUAGGUUGUCAUUAAGUGACCUACAGAACUUUUCUAGUUUUAAAUAUGAUACGGGUGAACCUACUCAAAAAUGCAUUGUUUGUCUGGAAAGGUUUGUAGAAGGUGAAAUUUGCAGAAGUCUACCAAGAUGUAACCAUGUUUUUCAUGCUAGCUGUGUUGACUCAAGUUCCCUCAUGCCCACUUUGUCGACGAAUCGUUGUUAAACCUGGAGUGGAUCAAUUACUACUGGCGGAUUCAUCUGGUAGCAGUGCAUAGUUUUCCUUGUAAGAUGUGGAUUCGGAUGUGAGCACGAAACAAUAAUCGCCAAAAGUUUACAUCAAAGAAAAGUUACAAAAAAUUGCAGCUUUAACUAUCCAUAGUUUUGGAAAUUUUGUGGAAAAUUCCAUGUGAAGAAAGCUAGCUGAGCCCAACUUUGACCAGAAUGGUUGUCCAAAUCAUCAUUAGAUUUUUUAUUGGAUUUUACCCGAAAUGUUUGGAAUGUUACCAUCGCUCCCAAAAAUGAAAGUUUACUGAACAACGAGCAGAUUGGAGGUUUGUCUGUCAAUGUGAAAUAAAUUUUUUUGCCUUA